This 2419-nucleotide ribosomal RNA is filed under the name Triticum aestivum (bread wheat). Its description in RNAcentral is "partial small subunit ribosomal RNA". Lineage: Eukaryota; Viridiplantae; Streptophyta; Magnoliopsida; Poales; Poaceae. The record is from RNAcentral.
ACGCCUCGGGUUUCUGUCGCCCCGUCUCACUUCACUCUCUCUCCCUUUCAUCUCUCGCACACGAGCAGCCGCCGUUCCUCUCCGCCUCCCUCCUCUACCACACGGACUGCCCUCCCUUGUGCUAGCCUCUCACGGCCAUGAAGGGCGGCGAGCUCGCCGUUCCCGUCAUCGGGAGAGAGCGACCGAUGGACCUAGAGCAUCCCCGUCAACGGGAGGAGCGCCGGAACCGACGGCGUCCCUCCGGCGACCGGAUCGGCUCGCUCGCCCGCUACUGUGCCGCCUCAACCCCAAGUCCGGCGGCCUCCUCUCCCUCCAGCGCUGCUGCUCCACCCUCUCCGGCGCCCCUCACCUUAUAUCCCAAGGGAGGGGAGGGGAGGGAAGGGAAUGGCCCAUAUUGAGGAUCGAGGGAUGAGGUGAGGCAGCGCCUAGAUCUACGGCGGCAUCGACGCGCCGUCGUCGACCUGAGCCGCCACUGUCCUCGAGGUCAACCAUGGAGUGGGGUCUAACCCGUCUACAACCAUGGAUGGAGACGCUCCAAACCCUAGCAUGGGGACCGAGCCGCCAUGGAUGUUCGAAUGAGGCAGGAGGCCAGCGGCCAGGACGACGCCAUGGUAUGACCCUGCUUUGCUCCUUCCCCACCAUGACCACACCAUGGAAGCAGCAGCAAGGUUCCUUGGUGGGUACAGCAGCAGCAGAAAGAGGACACCAUGGUGGGUACAGCGGCAGAAGCAGCAGCUCGAUGGACGCAUGGACGCCACCAUGGAAGCUGCGGGGAUGGAGGCGGCAUUCGGGUCUGGAGAUGGCAUGAGAAGCAGAGCUCUUUCUGCCACUAUCUCUACAAAGAAAGUGUAGUCUGCAAGCUUAUCAAAUCUGGGUACUGUUUGUAGAAGUGCAGCACCAUGCAUCAGGAAAUAUAUCCGUGCUUGGUAGUUUGAGACUACUGGUGUGAAGAUCUUGCUCCAAAUUCACAUGAUCUAAUUAGUGUUCUAUACAGAGUAACACUUUUGGGCUUUGGGUUGCCGCUGGAUCCGGACAAGAUAAGGCUUGCCUUACCUGGUGAAGUACUGGCUAGGAAGAGUGCAAGCUGCCGCCCACACAUACCAGAUGGUCCCGUCAAGGACGUUGUUGUACUGACUGCCGAUGAUCUACAGCUCAAGCCAUUUUUGUCGUUGUAUGACAAGGCUGUCGAUGUCAUCACUGAGCUGCCUUCUUUGCUUCAGAGGCUUAUUGUGCUGCUAUAGUUCUUUGUCUCUUAUCCACUCACCCAUUGUAGUGCAGCAAUUGCAAGCUCCACAUUCCCAUGGCUGCUCAUCCUCCGUAACUUUCUCUAGCUGAGCUCACGCCACCACUGCGGCACAACUCUCUUGUAGCUAUCGGGUGACCGCGUGUGUCGUUGCCACCACUAGCGAGAUCUGGGAGAAAGAGGAGGCAAAGAGGGAGAUGGAGCGGCAAGAAUAAAGGUAAAGGAAGGAGGAAGAGGAGACACCCUAAGCAUGCCGGUGACCUCCAGGCCCGCUACUACGACUUCUCCAAGCAACACCAAUCUACAACAGCAAGUGUCUCGAGCAAGAUGACCAAGUGUUGGUGGGUGGGCAUCAACAAGGUGGGCUGUCAGCACGGUGUUCGAGUUGGUCAGUAGUGGUGCACCUGCGCCAUGUAUGGAUCAAUACUCUAGGAGGUUCUGUCGAGGCCCAAUCCAUCCAGUUCAGAGCCAUUGUCAAAUUGAAUAACAACCGCCUUUUGGUCUUGGCCCAUAACCAGCCGUGAAAGACGAGAUGUUUAUGCUGCCCUUCUACCUUCCUCCCUGUCCCUACUUUUCCCCAUCGCGUGUUGGGCCCUCUGAAGUAAAAUAAACAUGAAACUACAUGCUAAAAAGUGGGUGAUAAAUAUCUAGUUACUAAAUUCACUAAAUUUGUGAUCCCAAAACUGUGAGCAAAAUAGUGAAAUGUCAGGGUUUACUCUACUGCAAAUUUGCAAUUUACUUGAACUUUGUUGUGAUGAGCAAUUCAGUUUCUUUGGGCAAAACGCCUGGCUAAACAAAUAAAUGCAUGUGCUUUUCAUGUUUUGUUCCCAGUAAGAAGCUGAUUCUGUAUCUUAUGUACUUGUUGUGAGCUACUUUUAACUCUGAUAAAGAAUGUACAUUGGAUUGUUGCUUGCUGGUGUUCUUACGUCUUUCAUCUGAUGCUUUGUUACCGGGUUGGGAGUGAUCGCACUUCAACUUCUGUACGCUGUAUUUUCUGUUGGAUGUGUCAUGUCAUCAUUUCUAUUGGUCUACGUUAUGCCUAAGACUUAAGUUAUCUAUGCAGAGUUGCAAAUUGUCUGUAAGCUACUACGUGUUGUCGUGUUUUCUACGCCUAAGAUAGUUGGUGUUAAACCUAUCGCAAAACAUGCUUUCUAUGUUCAUGCAUUGUUAAGAGGC